This 352-nucleotide ribosomal RNA is filed under the name Staphylococcus sp. R-46012. RNAcentral's name for it is "bacterial SSU rRNA". It matches the Rfam family "Bacterial small subunit ribosomal RNA", at positions 126 to 471 of the family's 1533-position model. Lineage: Bacteria; Bacillati; Bacillota; Bacilli; Caryophanales; Staphylococcaceae. The record is from RNAcentral.
CUACCUAUAAGACUGGGAUAACUUCGGGAAACCGGAGYUAAUACCGGAUAAUAUUUCGAACCGCAUGGUUCGAUAGUGAAAGAUGGCUUUGCUAUCACUUAUAGAUGGACCUGCGCCGUAUUAGCUAGUUGGUAAGGUAACGGCUUACCAAGGCAACGAUACGUAGCCGACCUGAGAGGGUGAUCGGCCACACUGGAACUGAGACACGGUCCAGACUCCUACGGGAGGCAGCAGUAGGGAAUCUUCCGCAAUGGGCGAAAGCCUGACGGAGCAACGCCGCGUGAGUGAUGAAGGUCUUCGGAUCGUAAAACUCUGUUAUUAGGGAAGAACAAACGUGUAAGUAACUGUGCAC